This is a long non-coding RNA of Diceros bicornis minor, 559 nucleotides long. RefSeq lists it as uncharacterized. The transcript has 4 exons. The record is from RefSeq and is a predicted model, not a curated record. Lineage: Eukaryota; Metazoa; Chordata; Mammalia; Perissodactyla; Rhinocerotidae.
AAGCACAGGCGCGCUUGGCGACGAGCCUAGCGAUAACGACCAGACCUGCUUCGUUUGAAGAAUUCUCUAGAGCAGGAUCACGUUUCGCUAAACGUUUGAAGACUUAACUGUGGAAUUUGAGUUUGAAACCAGGGCCUUUUGUGUUUCUUGCGGUCAGCCUUGCCACUUCCCAGAGUACACUUGGUGACCAAAGAGAGAAGUAGUGAAGAGCUUAAUUGGUUCUGGCACUCUGCCAAGGAUUCAGGGGAGGGUGGAUGUCCAGCUUGGUUCAGAUGAACUUGAGUCUUCAAGGAUUGAGAGAGUCUUGGGGGAGUGUCCAUGACCCAUCCGAAGAGGUGUUUCACAGAUGAAGUUCAUUUUGAGAAAGCCUGGGAUAACCCCAUAUGAAACAAUGUCCCUGUCCUGGGAGCACUCACUUCCUCUGAAUGAGUUCAGCUCUGUCUGUGUGACCCUCCUGAGACUGAGAAGAAUUUACCAACAGGUGAGUGUCAGUUCUGGCCCCUGGAGGCUCCAGUCUGUCUCCCAGUCCUGGUGUCUUAGAUUUCUGCCCUUUUGGAAA